This 639-nucleotide ribosomal RNA is filed under the name uncultured bacterium. RNAcentral's name for it is "bacterial SSU rRNA". It matches the Rfam family "Bacterial small subunit ribosomal RNA", at positions 154 to 788 of the family's 1533-position model. The record is from RNAcentral.
AAACUUACGCUAAUACCGCAUACGACCUACGGGUGAAAGUGGGGGACCUUAGGGCCUCACGCAGAAAGAUGAGCCGACGACCGAUUAGCUAGUUGGUGGGGUAAAGGCUCACCAAGGCGACGAUCGGUAGCUGGUCUGAGAGGAUGAUCAGCCACACUGGGACUGAGACACGGCCCAGACUCCUACGGGAGGCAGCAGUGGGGAAUAUUGGACAAUGGGCGCAAGCCUGAUCCAGCCAUGCCGCGUGUGUGAAGAAGGCCUUCGGGUUGUAAAGCACUUUUGUUCGGAAAGAAAUCUUCCAGCUUAAUACGUUGGGAGGAUGACGGUACCGGAAGAAUAAGCACCGGCUAACUUCGUGCCAGCAGCCGCGGUAAUACGAAGGGUGCAAGCGUUACUCGGAAUUACUGGGCGUAAAGCGUGCGUAGGCGGUUUGUUAAGUCUGAUGUGAAAUCCCCGGGCUCAACCUGGGACGUGCAUUGGAAACUGGCGAUCUAGAGUACGGUAGAGGGUGGUGGAAUUCCCGGUGUAGCAGUGAAAUGCGUAGAGAUCGGGAGGAACACUCGUGGCGAAGGCGGCCACCUGGACCAGUACUGACGCUGAGGCACGAAAGCGUGGGGAGCAAACAGGAUUAGAUACCCU